Pelobates cultripes (western spadefoot toad) is the source of this 556-nucleotide non-coding RNA. The record is from the annotation of a GenBank genome assembly. NCBI's taxonomy places the organism in Eukaryota, Metazoa, Chordata, Amphibia, Anura, Pelobatidae.
CUAUCAUAUGAGACAUGCUUAAAGGGACCAUGCACAUCCACCAGAGACCAUGAAGUCCCAAUUGGGUUUAAAGAAGAGAGUCCUUCUCUGUGGGAAAAAAAGAGAGGAACAAUUAUUAUUCAUGGUCAUCUUUGUCUAGUCUCCUACAACACAUGCAUGGAACAGCUUAUUAUACAGGUGAUACUCGAAAAAUUAGAAUAUCAUGCAAAAGUUCAUUUAUUUCAGUAAUGCAACGUAAAAGGGGAAACUAAUGUAUAAGAUAGACGCAUUACAUGCAAAGCAAGAUAAUUCAAGCCGUGAUUUGUCAUAAGUGCGAUGAUGCUCUGCCAGGCCUCUACUGCAACUGUCUUCAGUUCCUGCUUGGGGCAUUUUCCCUUCAAUUUUGUCUUCAUCAAGUGAAAUGCAUACUCAAUCGGAUUCAGGUCAGGUGAUUGACUUGGCCAUUGCAUAACAUUCCACUUCUUUCCCUUAAAAAAAAACUCUUUGGUUGCUUUUGCUGUAUGCUUCGGGUCAUUGUCCAUCUGUACUGUGAAGCGCCGUCCAAUGAGUUCUGAAG